This 1380-nucleotide ribosomal RNA is filed under the name synthetic construct. RNAcentral describes it as "bacterial SSU rRNA". It matches the Rfam family "Bacterial small subunit ribosomal RNA". The record is from RNAcentral. RNAcentral also lists the same sequence under 1 other name.
AGAGUUUGAUCCUGGCUCAGGAUGAACGCUGGCGGCGUGCCUAACACAUGCAAGUCGAACGGACUUUUGAUGAAACCUAGUGAUUUGAAAGUUAGUGGCGGACGGGUGAGUAACGCGUGGGUAACCUGCCCUAUACCGGGGGAUAACACUUAGAAAUAGGUGCUAAUACCGCAUAAGCGCACGGAGUCGCAUGACUUUGUGUGAAAAACUCCGGUGGUAUAGGAUGGACCCGCGUCUGAUUAGCUAGUUGGUGAGGUAACGGCCCACCAAGGCGACGAUCAGUAGCCGGCCUGAGAGGGUGACCGGCCACAUUGGGACUGAGACACGGCCCAAACUCCUACGGGAGGCAGCAGUGGGGAAUAUUGCACAAUGGGGGAAACCCUGACCCAGCAACGCCGCGUGAAGGAAGAAGGCUUUCGGGUUGUAAACUUCUUUUACCAGGGACGAAGGACGUGACGGUACCUGGAGAAAAAGCAACGGCUAACUACGUGCCAGCAGCCGCGGUAAUACGUAGGUUGCAAGCGUUGUCCGGAUUUACUGGGUGUAAAGGGCGUGUAGGCGGAGAAGCAAGUUGGGAGUGAAAUCCAUGGGCUCAACCCAUGAACUGCUCUCAAAACUGUUUCCCUUGAGUAUCGGAGAGGCAAGCGGAAUUCCUAGUGUAGCGGUGAAAUGCGUAGAUAUUAGGAGGAACACCAGUGGCGAAGGCGGCUUGCUGGACGACAACUGACGCUGAGGCGCGAAAGCGUGGGGAGCAAACAGGAUUAGAUACCCUGGUAGUCCACGCUGUAAACGAUGAAUACUAGGUGUGGGAGGGACUGACCCCUUCCGUGCCGCAGUUAACACAAUAAGUAUUCCACCUGGGGAGUACGACCGCAAGGUGGAAACUCAAAGGAAUUGACGGGGGCCCGCACAAGCAGUGGAUUAUGUGGUUUAAUUCGACGCAACGCGAAGAACCUUACCAGGAUUUGACAUCCCACUAACGAAGUAGAGAUACAUUAGGUGCCCUUCGGGGAAAGUGGAGACAGGUGGUGCAUGGUUGUCGUCAGCUCGUGUCGUGAGAUGUUGGGUUAAGUCCCGCAACGAGCGCAACCCCUAUUGUUAGUUGCUACGCAAGAGCACUCUAGCGAGACUGCCGUUGACAAAACGGAGGAAGGCGGGGACGACGUCAAAUCAUCGUGCCCCUUAUGUCCUGGGCUACACACGUAAUACAAUGGCGGUCAACAGAGGGAGGCAAUACCGCGAGGUGGAGCAAAUCCCUAAAAAUUGUCCCAGUUCAGAUUGUAGGCUGCAACUCGCCUACAUGAAGUCGGAAUUGCUAGUAAUCGCAGAUCAGCAUGCUGCGGUGAAUACGUUCCCGGGCCUUGCACACACCGCCCGUCA